Molecule: small RNA, 891 nt
Filed under: Rattus norvegicus (Norway rat)
Lineage: Eukaryota; Metazoa; Chordata; Mammalia; Rodentia; Muridae
Description: uncharacterized LOC102556448
Source: RNAcentral
UUUGGUUUUGGUUUUUCAAGAUGGGAUUGGGGCUUCUCAGUGUAGCUUUGCCUGUCCUGGAACUCACUUUCUAGCACAGGCUGGCCUCAAAACUCACAGAGAUCCAACUGCCUCUGCCUCUGGAGUGCUGGAACCACCACCAGGUGUCUCAGAAGCUUGUUCUUCCAGCAGACAGAUACCAGGCGCACCUUUCCCUGAGUUCUAACAGCUGAAGAAAUCGCCACUUCCUGCUGAUUACUCUCUAGAGAAGACAGACAGCAAAGAAACGCAAAACCCACCCCAGGUUGAAACCUACUAGUCUGGUAUUUUUGCAACAACAGCCUGUGAUACCUGCCCUGUCCUUAUUUCUACUCUAAUUGCACUCUGGGACCUUCAUCGCUUUGUUCAUCUAAAUUAUAGCAACAGCAGCCUAAUUGGCCUUCCUGCGUUCAGUCCUCCCUCCAUGCCGCAGCUGCAAGUGUGAUCUUAUAUCAGCAGCCUAAUUAUGGCACUCUUCAUAGGCUUGCAAUUGCUCUCUGUUGACUACAGAAUAAAAUUCGAAUUGCAUAUUUCCUACAGAAUCCAAGGUAGGUUUUCUCAGCAGAGUAUAUUUUACUACGUGCUAGACAGCCACUGAUUGUGAACGUAAUAUUGGCUUAACAAGCAAUUUUGGGUCAGGGACCAAGAGACAGGAUGGAACCUAUGAAUAUGAAAACAAAACAAAACAAAACAAUGUGAUUUCACAAUUACUACGCCGCAAAGCUAUAUUACCUGCUUACAGUCACCACUACAGUAUCAGGGUAACAAGAAGUGGGGGGGAGGGGAUGUUAACCUGAGUAGUUAGGGGGAAUGGUAAUACGGGGAUUAGUUACAGACAUGGGCAAAGCUUAGCAAGCCAGCGACAAGGCUGGC